Harmonia axyridis is the source of this 1122-nucleotide long non-coding RNA. RefSeq lists it as uncharacterized. The record is from RefSeq and is a predicted model, not a curated record. The transcript has 2 exons. Lineage: Eukaryota; Metazoa; Arthropoda; Insecta; Coleoptera; Coccinellidae.
CUAAUAUACUGAGUUUGCACUCACUCGGAUCAACUUCUCUUGCCUCCACAGUCUCUUACCUACCCCAUGUAUUCUAUUAAAGGAAGUUUGAAUAUUCAUCAUUCUCUGAAUGUAAACAAAUGUUCAUUUAAAUUUUUUGAGCAAUGUGUAUAAUUUUUUCCAAUUGUAAUAUUGUUUGAGAAAUAAUUGUUCCAAUGAAUGAAUAAAUAAAUGUUAUCCCAAUUAUAUCUACCAUUUCCUGGAAGAAGUUUGAGAUAGUGGAUAAUCGAUAGGUUCGAAUCUAUGGAAUCGGUUAUUUCAUGAGGUCUAGCGGUUAAUCAUAUCGAUCCGAUUAUUCGAAAUCGAAUGUUAGCCAGUUCAGUUUGAACCUUCAUCAGAAUUGAACCGCAUCGAUCUUGUGUUUAUCUUGUGCCGGUAUGAAAAACAUGAGUAGGCAAAUCUUCAUCGUUUAUAUCCUAUCCUUUCUCCUUUUAGUCAGUCUCAGUAAACAGUGCGAAACUAUCAAAUUCUUGGACGAGAAAGAAGUGUAUAGGAACUGUUGUCGUAUUGCGAAAUCUGAAGAAGAUUCUAUGAGGAAAGACGCGUUCAAGCGAGUAAUCAACUUAGAUGGUCAGUUUUAUGCCUGUAUGAAAAUGGUCCAAGUUCCCACUUUCGGAGUACACAAUGCUAUAGAUACUAUUGCACGUUGUCCAGAUCAUGAGAUCUUCGACUUUUUGGGUGGCGAAUGCGUUGAAUCAUUUUAAUGCAUUUGUCUGAAAGAACCAUAGAGGACAAAACAGAGCCGUUCUUGGGCACGGAAGAAAGUUUCUAAGAAAAAAAAAUCUUUCUCUAAUGGAAGCCAAGGCUCGAAGCAGGCCCCUACAGGUUGCUUCACAAGGUGCAUUACCAUUAACUAAUUCUUCAUUCGUUGAUAGAUUUACUCUUUAUUCGUCUGAAAAUUCUUUCUUGGAGAAAUAUAUUAGAAGAGAUUUUAAUUAAGAAUUCAGUCUAAUUUCUGAACCUGCUGAUUGUUUGUCAAUAAUUCGCAAUAAUUAUUGUUUCUUUUAUAUUAUAUUUAUUUGUAAUAUAGGUUGCUAGUAUAUUAUUUGUUAAUAAAUAUACGAAUAAACGAAUUAAAGCUUA